Molecule: ribosomal RNA, 400 nt
Filed under: uncultured Oscillospiraceae bacterium
Lineage: Bacteria; Bacillati; Bacillota; Clostridia; Eubacteriales; Oscillospiraceae
Description: bacterial SSU rRNA
Rfam family: Bacterial small subunit ribosomal RNA
Source: RNAcentral
UGGGGAAUAUUGGGCAAUGGGCGAAAGCCUGACCCAGCAACGCCGCGUGAAGGAAGAAGGUCUUCGGAUUGUAAACUUCUUUUAUGAGGGACGAAGGACGUGACGGUACCUCAUGAAAAAGCCACGGCUAACUACGUGCCAGCAGCCGCGGUAAUACGUAGGUGGCAAGCGUUGUCCGGAUUUACUGGGUGUAAAGGGCGUGUAGGCGGGAGAGCAAGUCAGAAGUGAAAUCUAUGGGCUUAACCCAUAAACUGCUUUUGAAACUGUUCUUCUUGAGUAUCGGAGAGGCAGGCGGAAUUCCUAGUGUAGCGGUGAAAUGCGUAGAUAUUAGGAGGAACACCAGUGGCGAAGGCGGCCUGCUGGACGACAACUGACGCUGAGGCGCGAAAGCGUGGGGAGC